GACGAACGUUGGCGGCGUGCUUAAUACAUGCAAGUCAACUGAAGCAGUGGUAGCAAUAUCGCUGUGGAGGUGGCGCACGGGUGAGUAACACGUAGGUAAUCUGCCUUCAGGUCUGGCAUAACUCCGGGAAACCGGGGCUAAUAGCAGAUGAUGCAGCGGCUCGACAUCGAGACAGUUGUUAAAGCUAUGGCGCCUGAAGAUGAGCCUGCGUCUGAUUAGCUAGUUGGCGGGGUAACGGCCCACCAAGGCAACGAUCAGUAGCUGGUCUGAGAGGAUGAUCAGCCACACUGGAACUGAGACACGGUCCAGACUCCGACGGGAGGCAGCAGGAAGGAAUAUUGCUCAAUGGGAGAAAUCCUGAAGCAGCAACGCCGCGUGAGGGACGAAGGGCUUUUGCUUGUAAACCUCUGUAGUGAGAGAAAAAAAUCCCAAUCUUUGGGACAUGAUGGUAUCUCAAAAGUAAGCCCCGGCUAACUACGUG
This 481-nucleotide ribosomal RNA is filed under the name uncultured bacterium. RNAcentral describes it as "partial 16S ribosomal RNA". It matches the Rfam family "Bacterial small subunit ribosomal RNA", at positions 28 to 507 of the family's 1533-position model. The record is from RNAcentral.